AUGGCUGAGUAUGCAGUUGGGCCGCUGAUCUCCAUGCUGAAGGAUAAGGUGUCCAGCUACCUUCUGCAGCGCUACAAGGUCAUGGAUGGCAUGGAGGAGCAGCGUGAGAUCCUUGAGCGCAAGCUUCCGGCCAUCUUGAACAUCAUUGAAGAUGUGGAGGAGGAAGUAGCUUACCGUUCUGGGGUAAGCGCUUGGCUCAAAGCGCUCAAGAAGGUGGCCUGCAAGGCGAACGAUGUCUUCGACGAGUUCAAGUACGAGGCUCUCCGGCGUGGCGCCAAGGAGAAGGGACACUACAAGAAGCUUGGCUUUGAUAUUGUAAGCCUCUUCCCUGCUCACAACCCCAUUGUGUUUCGUUACAGGAUGGGCAAGAAGUUGUGCAGGAUUGUACGCAUCAUCGAGGUCCUUGUCGAAGAGAUGAAUACCCUUGGAUUCAAACACCUGCAGCCAGCACCACCAUCCAAGCAGUGGCGUAUCACAGAUUCUGUAAUAAUUGACUCCGAGGAGGAUAUUGUUAGUAGGUCUAGAGACGAAGAGAAGAAGAAGAUUGUGAGUAUAUUAAUUGGUCAAGCUAGCGAUGGGAGCGAUCUCAUUGUCCUUCCCAUUGUUGGAAUGGGUGGGCUGGGCAAGACCACCUUCGCUCAGCUUGUCUACAAUGACCCUGCAAUCAAGGAGUAUUUUCAGCUCCGAAGAUGGUGUUGUGUGUCAGAUGAUUUUGAGGUUGUUAAGAUUGCAAACAGCAUCUGUGAGACCAAUGAGAAUGAUCGUGACAAGGCAUUGCAGAACCUUCAGAAUGAAGUAAGUGGGAAGAGAUACUUUAUUGUGUUGGAUGAUGUAUGGAAUGAAGAUGCUGACAAGUGGAAAAAAUUGAGGACCUGUCUGAAGCAUGGUUGCAAGGGUAGUGCAGUACUGAUGACCACUCGUAAAGAGAAAGUAGCUGAAAUUAUGAAGAUGUGUAUUGAUGAUAGUCAUGAUCUUGGAAAGCUACCUAAAGUAUUUCUGAAGGAAAUAUUUGAGAGUAGAGCAUUCUUUUCGCAAAAGCCAAACGCUGCUGAGCUAGGUGACACAGUUGAAAAGAUUCUGGACAGAUGUGGGGGCUCUCCUUUAGCUGCCAAAGCCUUUGGAUCUAUGCUGAGUACCAAGACUAGCAUGAAAGAAUGGAUGAACAUACUAACCAGAAGCAAUAGCUGCGAUGCGAAGAAAGAAGUUUUACCUAUACUCAAGCUCAGCUAUGAGGACUUGCCAUCACACUUGAAACAGUGCUUUGCUUUUUGUGCAGUCUUUCCAAAAGAUUAUGAGAUUGAUUUGGAAAUUUUAAUCCAGCUAUGGAUGGCACAUGAUUUCAUACCACUUAAAGAAGGCGACAAUCUUGAAAAGGUUGGCAGAGAAAUUUUUAACGAGCUAACUUGGAGGUCAUUUUUUCAAGAUGUCAAGCGAUCCCAUCCUAAGGAAAAACAGAGUGAGCUCCGUUCUAGAACAGUAUGCAAAAUACAUGAUCUUAUGCAUGAUAUUGCCUUGUCUGUUAUGGGAAAAUCUUGUCUUACUAUAGUUGAUAGGCCUGAUCAAAAGGAGCUAUUGUCAGCUGGCGCUACUCACCACCUGUUCUCAUCAUAUCAUUUCACUGGAACUCAUUCGCAUGAUUAUCUAAAGAAACAGUCUCCAGCUCUCCGGACAAUAUUGUAUACAAAUGAUAAAGCUUUUGGUCCAGCCCCAUACUUGUCAAAGCACAGUCAUCUGCGGGCACUGCAACUCUUUAAAUUGAGAAAACUUCCACUCCGACCAAAGCACUUGCAGCACUUGAGGUAUCUUGAUCUCUCAAAUAAUGAGUUUAUCAAAGAGCUUCCCAAGGAAAUAAGCAUAAUGUAUAAUCUACAAACUCUUAAACUUUCCAAUUGCGAGAAACUUGGUCAACUUCCAAAGGAUAUGAAGUAUAUGACAAAUCUCCGCCACCUCUAUACUAAUGGAUGCACAUCAUUGAAGUGCAUGCCUCCAGACCUCUGGCAACUCACUUCUCUACAGACUCUAACAUAUUUUGUGGCGAGUUCUAGUCCUGGUUGCUGUACUAUCAGUGAACUACGGGACUUAAAUCUUGGUGGUGAAUUAGAGCUAUCUUGUCUUGAAUAUGUAACUGAAGAACAUGCUAAAGAAUCCAGUCUUGGAAAUAAGGAGAAACUCACACACUUAUCUCUUGUAUGGGGUGAUGAUUGCAUUGACGAACUGGAUCAGCAUAGGAAUGUGCUUGAUGCUCUUAAACCUCAUGCUGCGCUAGAGUUUCUAGGAAUAUGUUCCUACGGAGGUACUACUUUCCCGACAUGGGUGAAAAGUCUUAUUUUUCUGCAGCAUUUGACCGGGCUCCACCUAGAUGGUUGUACAAUGUGCAAGGAGUUUCCACAAUUCGAUCAAUUUAAGGCCCUUGAAGUUCUCGUUUUGAAAAGGCUGAACAAAUUGCAAAGCCUAUGCAGUAACAGUUCAUCUGCAGCAUUUCCAGCACUAAAGGAUCUCAGAUUAGCAAAUUUGGAAUUGUUUGAGAGAUGGGUGGCAACAGAAGGAGAAAAACUAAAAUUUCCUCUUCUUGAGAAUCUUCGAAUUGAGAACUGCCCAAAGCUGACAACUCUGCCUGAAGCACCAAAAGUCAAAGUUGUACGGCUAGAAGAAGACAAGGCUCAACUAUCCUUAUCAAUAUUAGUAUCCAGGUACAUGUCUUGCUUGUCCGAGUUAUUUGUGAUUGUCCGUGAUACAGAAGCAGCACCAACACCGAAGCUUGAUCGAGAUCCUGAAGUAUCUCUUUCAGAAUUGGCAUUGACUGGUUGCAGCUUUUUGUUCCCAUCAAGUCCAUUGCAGCAUGCAGUUGGGGUGUGGAAAUGGUUUGGUCAGCUUGUGAAGUUGCAUAUAAAUUUUUGUGAUACACUCGUCUACUGGCCUGAAGAAGAGUUCCAGAGCUUGGUAUUACUCAAGAUUCUGCUCAUUGAAAAGUGUAGCAAGCUAAUAGGCCCCACCCAGGUGAAAGGUUGCCGUACUCGAGAAAGAGCUCAAUUCCUGCCAAAUUUAACAAUACUAGCCAUAAGAAAUUGUGGAAACUUAACAGAGCUUUUCGUGCUCCCACCAUCUCUCAGGACUCUGAACAUUGAUAAGUGUGUUAGUCUUGAGUUUAUAGUGGGGCAGGAUAAUGAGUUAGAGAGUCCACAACACUUCAAUACAGCAGCAUCAUUGGAACACUGCAAUGACCUUGCAUCUGAAAGUAUUCCAGAGCCACCAGCUUCACCCAGAAUUAAUCCAUUGCCAUGUCUGGUGUAUUUAAGAUUAUGCAACUGUAACAAGAUUCAUUCUAUGCCAGUGCAGUUGGAUACACUCAAGUGUCUGAAUAUUAAGAAUUGCAGCGGGCUGGAGUCACUGGAUUGUUUGGGCGACCUACCUUUACUGGAGACAUUAUUCCUUCUGAGAUGCAAAAAACUGGCAUCUGUACCAGGUAGUACUGGGAACUACUCAGCCCUUGAGAGGAUCAUAAUUGAAUACUGCCCAGCUGUAAAUAUAAAACCACUUUAUGCACACCUCCAACGACGGCGAGAUAGCCUUGAACACGAGGAUAUAUCUCGUGCGGGUUUAAGCAAUCCUGAUGAAGGGCCUAAACUAUGGGAACCAAAAUCUUGGAAAUAUGUUAUUCCUGGACUGCGGCGAGAGUACUGA
This 3681-nucleotide ribosomal RNA is filed under the name Triticum aestivum (bread wheat). Its description in RNAcentral is "partial small subunit ribosomal RNA". Lineage: Eukaryota; Viridiplantae; Streptophyta; Magnoliopsida; Poales; Poaceae. The record is from RNAcentral.